RNAcentral lists this ribosomal RNA (464 nucleotides) under uncultured bacterium. RNAcentral's name for it is "partial 16S ribosomal RNA". It matches the Rfam family "Bacterial small subunit ribosomal RNA", at positions 29 to 507 of the family's 1533-position model. The record is from RNAcentral.
ACGCACGCUGGCGGCGUGCUUAACACAUGCACGUCGUACGGUAAGGCCCUUUCGGGGGUACACGAGUGGCGAACGGGUGAGUAACACGUGAGUAACCUGCCCACAACUUUGGGAUAACGCUAGGAAACUGGUGCUAAUACUGGAUAUGUGCUCCUGCUGCAUGGUGGGGGUUGGAAAGCUCCGGCGGUUGUGGAUGGACUCGCGGCCUAUCAGCUUGUUGGUGGGGUAGUGGCCUACCAAGGCGGCGACGGGUAGCCGGCCUGAGAGGGUGACCGGCCACAUUGGGACUGAGAUACGGCCCAGACUCCUACGGGAGGCAGCAGUGGGGAAUAUUGCACAAUGGGCGCAAGCCUGAUGCAGCAACGCCGCGUGCGGGAUGACGGCCUUCGGGUUGUAAACCGCUUUCAGCAGGGACGAAGCUUUUUGUGACGGUACCUGCAGAAGAAGCACCGGCUAACUACGUG